Molecule: ribosomal RNA, 481 nt
Filed under: uncultured bacterium
Lineage: Bacteria
Description: partial 16S ribosomal RNA
Rfam family: Bacterial small subunit ribosomal RNA
Source: RNAcentral
GAUGAACGCUGGCGGCGUGCUUAACACAUGCAAGUCGAACGAAGCACUUUAUUUGAUUUCCUUCGGGACUGAUUAUUUUGUGACUGAGUGGCGGACGGGUGAGUAACGCGUGGGUAACCUGCCUUGUACAGGGGGAUAACAGUUGGAAACGGCUGCUAAUACCGCAUAAGCGCACAGCAUCGCAUGAUGCAGUGUGAAAAACUCCGGUGGUAUAAGAUGGACCCGCGUUGGAUUAGCUAGUUGGUGAGGUAACGGCCCACCAAGGCGACGAUCCAUAGCCGACCUGAGAGGGUGACCGGCCACAUUGGGACUGAGACACGGCCCAAACUCCUACGGGAGGCAGCAGUGGGGAAUAUUGCACAAUGGGCGAAAGCAUGAUGCAGCGACGCCGCGUGAGCGAAGAAGUAUUUCGGUAUGUAAAGCUCUAUCAGCAGGGAAGAUAAUGACGGUACCUGACGAAGAAGCACCGGCUAAAUACGUG